UACAGAGGUCCCAAGCGUUAUUCGGAAUUAUUGGGCGUAAAGGGCGCGUAGGCGGCUUGGCAAGUGGAUGGUGAAAUCCCUCGGCUUAACCGAGGAACUGCCGUCCAAACUGCUUCGCUUGAGACCGGGAGAGGUGAGUGGAAUUCCCAGUGUAGCGGUGAAAUGCGUAGAUAUUGGGAGGAACACCAGUGGCGAAGGCGGCUCACUGGACCGGUACUGACGCUGAUGCGCGAAAGCGUGGGGAGCAAACAGG
RNAcentral lists this ribosomal RNA (253 nucleotides) under uncultured bacterium. RNAcentral's name for it is "partial 16S ribosomal RNA". It matches the Rfam family "Bacterial small subunit ribosomal RNA", at positions 524 to 776 of the family's 1533-position model. The record is from RNAcentral.